AGAGCGAACGCUGGCGGCAGGCCUAACACAUGCAAGUCGAGCGCCCGUAGCAAUACGGGAGCGGCAGACGGGAUAGUAACACGUGGGAACGCGCCCUUCGGUUCGGAAUAACUCAGGGAAACUUGAGCUAAUACCGGAUACGCCCUUACGGGGAAAGAUUUAUUGCCGAAGGAACGGCCCGCGUCCGAUUAGCUAGUUGGUGAGGUAAUGGCUCACCAAGGCGACGAUCGGUAGCUGGUCUGAGAGGAUGACCAGCAUCACUGGGACUGAGACACGGCCCAGACUCCUACGGGAGGCAGCAGUGGGGAAUAUUGGACAAUGGCGCAAGCCUGAUCCAGCCAUGCCGCGUGGAUGAUGAAUGCCUUAGGGUUAGUAAAGUCCUUUUAACGGGGAAGAUAAUGACGGUACCGUAGAAUAAGCCCGGCUAACUCGUGCCAGCAGCCGC
This 445-nucleotide ribosomal RNA is filed under the name uncultured bacterium. Its description in RNAcentral is "SSU rRNA". It matches the Rfam family "Bacterial small subunit ribosomal RNA", at positions 26 to 518 of the family's 1533-position model. The record is from RNAcentral.